Molecule: microRNA precursor, 71 nt
Organism: Homo sapiens (human)
Lineage: Eukaryota; Metazoa; Chordata; Mammalia; Primates; Hominidae
Source: Ensembl
GUGUCUGUGCCGGUCCCAGGAGAACCUGCAGAGGCAUCGGGUCAGCGGUGCUCCUGCGGGCCGACACUCAC